Long non-coding RNA from Bombus terrestris (buff-tailed bumblebee), 731 nucleotides. RefSeq lists it as uncharacterized. The transcript is spliced from 3 exons. The record is from RefSeq and is a predicted model, not a curated record. Lineage: Eukaryota; Metazoa; Arthropoda; Insecta; Hymenoptera; Apidae.
ACUUUACGUCCUUGAUAGCUUCUGUUGCCGCCUCUCUCUGAAAUUCGUGGUUUGUUUUCGUAGUAUCUAUAUCUAUCUUUGUUUACCACGUGAUUUCGUUGACGACCGUGAGUGGCUCCAACCGAUCUCUUUCCCUUCGAAUAACCUUAAAGGCUGUUCUGGGAAAUGUAAACUUAUGCAUCGUGCAAAGACUGGCAAGCAGUAGAAUAUGUGAAACAAUGCGAUAAAAGUAGGUCGAGUUAGAGAAAAGAAUGACGAAUACGAACUGUGGAUAAUAGUUUAUUAAAUUGUCGGAAAUGCCGCUAUGAGAAAUUCUUGAAAAGUGGCGGUUAAACUUACAGGAUAUACCCUGUUUAUAUUAUUUGAAACACGCGUUUGAGAUUGAAAUAAUACUGCACUAUUUUAGGUAGUAUAACAAUUCUUCAGAAGAGUUAUAUGCAUCCAUCUAUUACAGAUUAUCUAUGCUAAUAUACAUGAAAACUUAUAAUUUUUUGCAAAAUAUUUAAUAUUUGAUUAGAUAUGUAGAUAAAAAUAUAAGCAACAAUAUUUCAGUAGUAACGGUAACAGGAAAAAAAUGAAACUAUAAACUUGGUAUAGUAGAAACAUCGUAUCUAUAAUAAAAUUGUUAAUCAUUAGUAGAAAUAUCAACAAAAAUUUAUUAUAUUUACAUUUAUUGUUUCUAGCUAAUAUACUAACAAUAUAACUUUUAUAUAACAUAACUUUUUAUAUAA